CUUAUUCACUCCCCUCCUUUGUUUUGCUUUGCCCUUGUGUGUUUGGAGUGUUAAUUUUGGAUUGUGGUGCUCCCAUUUUAAGUUUAUACUUUCACCCCUCACUCACCUUGAGCACAAAUGCCCCAGCCCUGGAAUACAUGAUAAUUUAUACAAAUAGGAUAACUUUUUUAGAUUUGAAUUGUGCCCAAUAAACUGUUGUAUAUGCUUUUGGAAACACGUCUCUCGCCUGCUCAGUGUAACGAACUUGUGUUGUCCUUUUGUUUAGAUUUAGUAAUUUACCUUAUUCAUAGAUUUCUUUCUUUUCCCUGGGUGAUUUCUCCCAGGGUGGCGUUGCUGGUUUCCUUUAGUUUCUUUCUUUUUCCCCUAGUUAAAAACAUAGAUUAUUGGGGUAGUUCCUACCCCACCUCACGCUUGCCACAAACUUGGCGUUGCUGGCAGGACUUAUACUGAAAAAAAAAAAGGCAGAGACGUGUGUUCCUUUGUUUUUUGUUGUUUGUUUUUUUGUUUUUUUUGUUUUUCUGAAUAAGACAAAGCAGCAGCAGUCCCCUGGCAACCAUGGAGGAAGAAAUGCAAGAGUUGCGAGCUCUGGUUGCGCAGUUAAAGGCUGACAAUGAGAGGUUGCGUCAAGCUUCGUUGGUGCCGCCCUCUAGUGCUACACCUUCAACCUCCUCAGUACUGCCGACUGCCCUUACUUCUGCCAGUGCCCCUGCAGCCGAGAGGCCCCACAACCUGUCACGCAGGCAUUACAGGAGUACCAUCAGGUGACCACGCAGACCUCCCAGGAGCUGUCUGGGAAGGCAAAGGUCAGAGACGAGACCCCAGUCACGCAACGCUACAGGCGUGUAUCCCCUUCUGAUUAUGAGGCUGUCAAAGACCACGUUAAUCAGCUUCUUUCUGCUCAGGUAAUUAGAGAGAGUUGUAGCCCCUAUGCCUCCCCCAUUGUGCUUGUAAAGAAGAAGGAUGGGAGCCUGCGUAUGUGUGUCGAUUACCGGCAACUAAAUGCCAAGACCAGGAAAGAUGCGUUCCCGCUGCCACGCAUUGAAGAAUCAUUGGAUGCCUUGACGGGUGCACGCUGGUUCUCUACCAUGGACCUGGCCAGUGGGUACAACCAGGUUGAGGUCACGGAGAAGGACCGACCGAAGACGGCGUUUUGUACACCAUUCGG
Long non-coding RNA from Gasterosteus aculeatus aculeatus (three-spined stickleback), 1165 nucleotides. The record is from Ensembl. NCBI's taxonomy places the organism in Eukaryota, Metazoa, Chordata, Actinopteri, Perciformes, Gasterosteidae.